This 826-nucleotide long non-coding RNA is filed under the name Rattus norvegicus (Norway rat). Its description in RNAcentral is "long non-coding RNA NONRATT017361". Lineage: Eukaryota; Metazoa; Chordata; Mammalia; Rodentia; Muridae. The record is from RNAcentral.
GUGGUGACUACUGCUGCACCAGAAGUCUCCUCAGAAGGCAGUGCUCAAUCCCUGAGCUCUCAGGACGGAAGGCACCUAUCAAGUUUAACAGCUUGAGGGCCACUCUGUUCUCAGAACUGGAUAAAACAAACUUUUCUCACACAGAGAGGAUUGUAGUACCGAGAAUUCUCUUGAUUUUUGUGCAAGUCAAACAUAAACAGCUUUCUGUCCUCUGGUGAGGUUCAGAACAAGAAAGGUAAUGUUGAGAUUAGGUCAAGAUUCCCUUGACUGUCUAUCCUAGGCUUUGCCAGGAGAACCUAUGACAUUAACCUAGUAACUCUUUCCUAUGCACAUGGCAAUCCUUGUUUCUGUCAUUCCCUCUGGAACCCAGUAUUAGGAAUACACAAGGAGUUCUUGAGGGCUGGCUGAGGAAACCAUUGAAGAAAGCAUGUCUUUGUAUAUACUCUGUAGCUGUGGUUACACUCCCUUGCUGCCCCUCCUCGACUUCAGUACUGAUGCGGCCGUCAUCAUAAAUGGAACCGCUGCUUUAUUACUUCUAUGUGCUGCUCACUUUGGCAUAUUUAGCCAUGUGGUAUGGUCAUUGCUUAGUGGUUUGAGAUGACUAAGUUUUUUUUUUCAAUGAAAUGAGUGUUUCAUACUGUAUUUCUCAUAGCAUUAGAAAAUUGUGAAGACCAUUUAGAUAGUCACUGUGUCUUCCCACUUGACCUGAUUUUCUUCAAAAUCGUUAAGAUUCCUAAGCAUUUCUCUUUUGUUUUAUUUUUCAUUUGGUUGGUUGGUUUUGUCUUUAUAUAAUAGAAAUUGGGCUUCUAUUAAAUUGUGAGACUGG